CAGAGUAUGGUUUGAAAUGCUGUUCACAUCUGUCAGGAUAGUGUUGGAACUUGAGUCACGUGACUUGACCUGGCUGUGUUUUUCUUCCCUCAUCAGUAGCCAUCUUAAACUUAGUUAGCUCUGGUUAUUCUUCGCCAUUAUACCGAAAAAUGAAAUACCCUUCGCUUCGAUGUCUGGUUCUUGCAAGGAUUCUUUUUAUUGUUUGAACCGCGUCUUGGGAGUGGAAGUUCUAGUUUCUGGAGUCGAAUUUACAUAGUUUGAAUCACGUCUUGGGAGUGGAAGUUCCAGUUCCUGGUUCAUGGAGUGUAGCACCGAGGACGAGAACCGUUCUGAACCAUGAAUGCAGCACCGUGGACAAGUACUGUUUUCAAUCCUACAAGACUGCAGCACCGAGGAUGAGAACUAAUCUGAGAAUGGGGAAGCUCACCUCCGGGCGGUCGUGGAAGAAACAUGGCAGGGAUAAUUUUAACGUAGCUGUAGCUAGUUCUGAUGUAUGUGUUAUCUGUGUAUUCUUAAAGGGAGAGGGUUGAUUAUAUUUCGUCGUCUCUAAAACUGCUUGGCAGACGUUCUCUAAGUUGGCUAACAUAAACGGUAUCAAAUUGUUUUACAGUGAAAGGUUGUACAAAUUUAUGAACUGAUUUCUGUAAUGUUUAUUUGUAGUAUAUAAAUAGUGUCUGGCAUCCGUUCUCUGGGU
Macrobrachium nipponense is the source of this 694-nucleotide long non-coding RNA. RefSeq lists it as uncharacterized. The transcript is spliced from 3 exons. NCBI's taxonomy places the organism in Eukaryota, Metazoa, Arthropoda, Malacostraca, Decapoda, Palaemonidae. The record is from RefSeq and is a predicted model, not a curated record.